ACAAAUUCUGAAGGAUGGAUUGUUUUUUUUUUUCAGUGUAAUGACUCAGAUGCCAGAUUGAUUAUGUGGUGAUCCUGAUUGAUGGUUUUCUUCAAUUCCAUUGGGUCUUGGAAAUGCCCCAUAGGUUU
Vicia villosa (hairy vetch) is the source of this 128-nucleotide small nucleolar RNA. The record is from RefSeq and is a predicted model, not a curated record. NCBI's taxonomy places the organism in Eukaryota, Viridiplantae, Streptophyta, Magnoliopsida, Fabales, Fabaceae.